CAUGUACUCCCUCCGUCCCAAAUUUGUUGUCUUAGAUUUGUCUAAAUACGGAUGUAUCUAGUUACAUUUUAGUGUUAGAUACAUCCGUAUCUAGACAAAUCUAAGACAAGAAUUUUGGGACGGAGGGAGUAUAAU
Non-coding RNA from Triticum aestivum (bread wheat), 135 nucleotides. Lineage: Eukaryota; Viridiplantae; Streptophyta; Magnoliopsida; Poales; Poaceae. The record is from Rfam.